Molecule: ribosomal RNA, 300 nt
Filed under: uncultured bacterium
Lineage: Bacteria
Description: bacterial SSU rRNA
Rfam family: Bacterial small subunit ribosomal RNA
Source: RNAcentral
GAUGAACGCUAGCGGCAGGCUUAAUACAUGCAAGUCGAGGGGCAGCACGGGGUAGCAAUACUCUGGUGGCGACCGGCAAACGGGUGCGGAACACGUACAGAACCUUCCUUUAAGCGGGGGAGUAGCCCAUAGAAAUGUGGAUUAAUACCCCAUAGUAAUACUGGCUGGCAUCAGUUGGUAUUUAAAGAUUGAUCACUUAAAGAUGGCUGUGCGGCUGAUUAGGUAGNGGUUGAGGUAAAGGCUCACCAAGCCUGCGAUCAGUAACUGGUGUGAGAGCACGACCAGUCACACGGGCACUGA